UAUUCACUUUUGUCCCUCUGUGCCUG
This 26-nucleotide non-coding RNA is filed under the name Mus musculus (house mouse). Lineage: Eukaryota; Metazoa; Chordata; Mammalia; Rodentia; Muridae. The record is from RNAcentral.